Molecule: long non-coding RNA, 298 nt
Filed under: Elaeis guineensis (African oil palm)
Lineage: Eukaryota; Viridiplantae; Streptophyta; Magnoliopsida; Arecales; Arecaceae
Description: long non-coding RNA (EGUI_LNC055140)
Source: RNAcentral
UCUUUGACCCUAAUACUCAAGGACGAUCUAGGAUUUAACUAUCAAUCUUAAAUAAGUCAUCCACAUUAUAUUCUAAUCUUUCAAAUCUAUCAUAUGGAUUAUUCGAGCUCAGAUUUUGCUAAACUAAAAUAUAUUGAUACAUUGACUCCUACUAAUUCGGAGGAGUCAAUUCCAUCUUGACUCAUGCACCAAUUUGAUAAGUACUUGACUGUACCUAGAAACCUUCUAUCACUGAAUUAUAAACUCAGAUAGUCUGAUAUCAAAGUACAAUGAGUUGUUUAUAAGUCAUCAUGGUGAU